This 468-nucleotide ribosomal RNA is filed under the name uncultured bacterium. RNAcentral describes it as "partial 16S ribosomal RNA". It matches the Rfam family "Bacterial small subunit ribosomal RNA", at positions 28 to 507 of the family's 1533-position model. The record is from RNAcentral.
GACGAACGCUGGCGGCGUGCUUAACACAUGCAAGUCGAACGGAAAGGCCCUGCUUUUGUGGGGUGCUCGAGUGGCGAACGGGUGAGUAACACGUGAGUAACCUGCCCUUGACUUUGGGAUAACUUCAGGAAACUGGGGCUAAUCUCGUAUAGGAUCUCCUGCUGCAUUGUGGGGGGUGGAAAGUUGCGGCGGUUGGGGAUGGACUCGCGGCUUAUCAGCUUGUUGGUGGGGUAGUGGCUUACCAAGGCUUUGACGGGUAGCCGGCCUGUGAGGGUGACCGGCCACAUUGGGACUGAGAUACGGCCCAGACUCCUACGGGAGGCAGCAGUGGGGAGUAUUGCACAAUGGGCGGAAGCCUGAUGCAGAAACGCCGCGUGCGGGAUGACGGCCUUCGGGUUGUAAACCGCUUUCGCCUGUGACGAAGCGUGAGUGACGGUAAUGGGUAAAGAAGCACCGGCUAACUACGUG